AAUAAGCGGAGGAAAAGAAACUAACAAGGAUUCCCCUAGUAACUGCGAGUGAAGCGGGAAAAGCUCAAAUUUAAAAUCUGGUGGUCUUUGGCCAUCCGAGUUGUAAUUUAGAGAAGCGUCUUCCGCGCUGGACCGUGCACAAGUCUCCUGGAAUGGAGCGUCGUAGAGGGUGAGAAUCCCGUCUUUGGCACGGACGCACCAGUGCUUCUGUGAUGCGCUCUCGAAGAGUCGAGUUGUUUGGGAAUGCAGCUCAAAAUGGGUGGUGAACUCCAUCUAAAGCUAAAUAUUGGCGAGAGACCGAUAGCGAACAAGUACCGUGAGGGAAAGAUGAAAAGCACUUUGGAAAGAGAGUGAAACAGUACGUGAAAUUGUUGAAAGGGAAACGCUUGAAGUCAGUCGCGUCGCCCGAGACUCAGCCUUGCCUUGGCUUGGUGUACUUCUCGGCCGACGGGUCAGCAUCAAUUUUGCCCCUUGGAUAAUGGCGAGGGAAAUGUGACACCUUWACGGGUGUGUUAUAGUCUUUUGUCGCAUGCAAGGGUUGGGAUUGAGGAACUCAGCACGCGCCCUCGGGCGUCGGGGUUCGCCCACGAUACGUGCUUAGGAUGUUGGCGUAAUGGCUUUAAACGACCCGUCUUGAAACA
RNAcentral lists this ribosomal RNA (641 nucleotides) under Russula queletii. Its description in RNAcentral is "LSU rRNA". It matches the Rfam family "Eukaryotic large subunit ribosomal RNA", at positions 45 to 661 of the family's 3401-position model. Lineage: Eukaryota; Fungi; Basidiomycota; Agaricomycetes; Russulales; Russulaceae. The record is from RNAcentral.